ANGCAGCCAUGCCGCGAUGCAAUGAUGAAGGUCUUAGGAUUGUAAAAUUCUUUCACCGGGGACGAUAAUGACGGUACCCGGAGAAGAAGCCCCGGCUAACUUCGUGCCAGCAGCCGCGGUAAUACGAAGGGGGCUAGCGUUGCUCGGAAUUACUGGGCGUAAAGGGCGCGUAGGCGGAUCGUUAAGUCAGAGGUGAAAUCCCAGGGCUCAACCCUGGAACUGCCUUUGAUACUGGCGAUCUUGAGUGUGAGAGAGGUAUGUGGAACUCCGAGUGUAGAGGUGAAAUUCGUAGAUAUUCGGAAGAACACCAGUGGCGAAGGCGACAUACUGGCUCAUUACUGACGCUGAGGCGCGAAAGCGUGGGGAGCAAACAGGAUUAGAUACCCUGGUAGUCCACGCCGUAAACGAUGAUUGCUAGUUGUCGGGCUGCAUGCAGUUCGGUGACGCAGCUAACGCAUUAAGCAAUCCGCCUGGGGAGUACGGUCGCAAGAUUA
This 494-nucleotide ribosomal RNA is filed under the name uncultured bacterium. RNAcentral describes it as "bacterial SSU rRNA". It matches the Rfam family "Bacterial small subunit ribosomal RNA", at positions 386 to 896 of the family's 1533-position model. The record is from RNAcentral.